UCCGCCUCCUCGACCCCGCCUCCCCAAGUUUAAAUCAUGAAUUGAUGCGAAUAAUGAAUUCACACUUUAACUUGAACGUGUAAAUGCACUGUACACCACCACUGCUAUUUUACAAAAUAAUAUUUUAAAGAUACACUUACAGAGCUUAACCAUGUUGUCUGAAGCAAGAAUAUAAAUAUUUGGGUGUCACUGACAUGCAUUCCUAGCUAGCUACGUUAGCAUUGUAACUUCAGUACAAACCCAAGAACCAAACUUAUCCACGGCACUUACCUGUAUUUCCUUUAACUGUCCUGUAGCUGUUGCUAUUUUGCAAUGUUCCAGACGAUCUCUUUUUCUCUUUUUCUCUGAAUUUAUACCAACACAGCUGUAACAUUUAUUAUAAAAUCCCCACAGUGAUGGAAACCUUAAAGCCCCUCUUCAGGCUUGAGCCAAGAUAAUAAUGUUAAAAUAUAUAUUUUUAGACUUUCACAAUGGUUCUACUUUUAGUAAAAUGUUGGCCAGAACAGAACAGAACAGAAGGGUUAAUGAGUCAUAGUCGAGCAGGAGGCCGUCGUGUUUAGGGGAUGUAGGGACGUGUGUGUGUGUGUGUGUGUCUCGAGAGUGUGUGAGGUUUUGGAGAACUGUGUGCGGACAGAUUUAUAUGUGUUUCGUUUGGAAUGGUGCAGAAAUACGUCAGGACAGCGGGGGGAUUUCUGGAAGUCGUCUCCUCUUUCCCCGAGGUCAGCACUUUGUCCUGCUGAGGACAUUACGAGGAACUGUGAGGCCACAAGUGGAACGUCCACAAUGUCCUGUUCACUCUAAAUGCAGUCCAUUGUUUAAGACAAGGAUCCAGAACUCAGCAGCGCUGUGGGACAAUAUCAAAUAGUUCACCUUAAACAAUCCAGCAGUAAACUAAGGCAAGGUGAGUUAACCGGAAUUCCACAACCAUAUUAUCUCGUACUCCGACAAAUUCCCGCCUUCUGUACAAUAAUCCUUCCCGCCUCUUGUGCUAGGAUUGACUAUUUUUACUCCAAACAACCUGCAGAUCAGAUAAUCGGUUGUGAAAUUAGACAAAACCAGAAAAAUAAAAUAUAUAAAUAAAUAUCUGUUUAAUGAAACUGAUCAAAAUAUAAACACAAGAGAUAUAACACAAUCAAGUGUCACCAUAGCUCUGGUUGCUAUGGUGACACGAAGGGCUUCUCGAAUGUCUCACUUAAUCUAAUUUUAACACAGACUUAAUAUCCAACACUACUUAUCUGUGAUUUGAUGUUUGU
Ictalurus furcatus (blue catfish) is the source of this 1253-nucleotide long non-coding RNA. RefSeq lists it as uncharacterized. The record is from RefSeq and is a predicted model, not a curated record. The transcript is spliced from 3 exons. Lineage: Eukaryota; Metazoa; Chordata; Actinopteri; Siluriformes; Ictaluridae.